RNAcentral lists this long non-coding RNA (421 nucleotides) under Rattus norvegicus (Norway rat). RNAcentral describes it as "long non-coding RNA NONRATT018918". The record is from RNAcentral. Lineage: Eukaryota; Metazoa; Chordata; Mammalia; Rodentia; Muridae.
ACUUCACACUCAGGAAUCCAUGACGUCGCCUCCUCCGCAGCCAGCCAGCUCCGUGGCUCCUUUGGCCGCCAAGCACAAGUCCCUGAUUGUUCGGGGCAGAGAAAAAGUCAGGGAGAGGGAGGCGCGCAGGGGUGGGGGCGCGGCCCGCCAGGCCCUGCAGGAGCUGUGUGCAAACUCGCAGACAGCCACCGCCUCCCCGCUGCAGCCUUGCCUGAAUCCAGCCUCCUGACACCCCACUUUGUGAGCGGGUGCCCCUUGGAGAAAGCUCCCCAGGAUUUCAGCCAGCACCCCCUGGGUUGUCCAGGACCCAGGGGUGUCUCCUUAGGCCCUCAGUGCCUCUGACUGCCCAGAUUCUUGAGUGUUCAGGGAUGAAGAGGAGCAAGACGAAGGAAAAAGAAAUAAAUAACAGCGCCUGUGCCAA